This 348-nucleotide unclassified non-coding RNA is filed under the name soil metagenome. RNAcentral's name for it is "partial contains 5.8S ribosomal RNA, internal transcribed spacer 2, and large subunit ribosomal RNA". The stretch from base 1 to 120 matches the Rfam family "5.8S ribosomal RNA", at positions 35 to 154 of the family's 154-position model. The record is from RNAcentral.
GAUGAAGAACGCAGCAAAAUGCGAUAAGUAAUGUGAAUUGCAGAAUUCAGUGAAUCAUCGAAUCUUUGAACGCACAUUGCGCCCGCUGGUAUUCCGGCGGGCAUGCCUGUUCGAGCGUCAUUUCAACCAUCAAGCCCCCGGGUUUGGUGUUGGGGAUCGGCUCUGCCCUUCUGGGCGGUGCCGCCCCCGAAAUACAUUGGCGGUCUCGCUGCAGCCUCCAUUGCGUAGUAGCUAACACCUCGCAACUGGAACGCGGCGCGGCCAUGCCGUAAAACCCCAACUUCUGAAUGUUGACCUCGGAUCAGGUAGGAAUACCCGCUGAACUUAAGCAUAUCAAUAAGCGGAGGA